ACAGAGGGUGCAAGCGUUAAUCGGAAUUACUGGGCGUAAAGCGCACGUAGGCGGCUUGGCAAGUUGGGUGUGAAAUCCCCGGGCUCAACCUGGGAACUGCAUUUGUGACUGCAUGGCUAGAGUGCGGCAGAGGGGGAUGGAAUUCCGCGUGUAGCAGUGAAAUGCGUAGAUAUGCGGAGGAACACCGAUGGCGAAGGCAAUCCCCUGGGCCUGCACUGACGCUCAUGCACGAAAGCGUGGGGAGCAAACAGGA
This 253-nucleotide ribosomal RNA is filed under the name uncultured prokaryote. Its description in RNAcentral is "partial 16S ribosomal RNA". It matches the Rfam family "Bacterial small subunit ribosomal RNA", at positions 525 to 777 of the family's 1533-position model. The record is from RNAcentral.